RNAcentral lists this ribosomal RNA (552 nucleotides) under uncultured bacterium. RNAcentral describes it as "bacterial SSU rRNA". It matches the Rfam family "Archaeal small subunit ribosomal RNA", at positions 728 to 1277 of the family's 1478-position model. The record is from RNAcentral.
AAUAGAUACCCAGGUAGUCCCAGCCGUAAACGAUGCUCGCUAGGUGUCAGGCAUGGCGCGACCGUGUCUGGUGCCGCAGGGAAGCCGUGAAGCGAGCCACCUGGGAAGUACGGCCGCAAGGCUGAAACUUAAAGGAAUUGGCGGGGGAGCACAACAACGGGUGGAGCCUGCGGUUUAAUUGGACUCAACGCCGGACAACUCACCGGGGACGACAGCAAUAUGUAGGCCAGGCUAAAGACCUUGCCUGAAUCGCUGAGAGGAGGUGCAUGGCCGUCGCCAGUUCGUACUGUGAAGCAUCCUGUUAAGUCAGGCAACGAGCGAGACCCGUGCCCACUGUUACCAGCAUGUCCUCCGGGACGAUGGGUACUCUGUGGGGACCGCCGAUGUUAAAUCGGAGGAAGGUGCGGGCUACGGUAGGUCAGUAUGCCCCGAAUUUCCCGGGCUACACGCGGGCUACAAUGAAUGGGACAAUGGGUCCCCACCCCGGAGACGGGGUUGGUAAUCGUCCCAAACCCAUCCGUAGUUCGGAUCGAGGGCUGUAACUCGCCUCGU